AGCGAGCCGCAUAUCUGCACAAUCCUCCCGAAAAAAGGCAGUGACAGCGGCUGUAGACAGAGCUGGGACCUCAGGUGUGAUGACUGUCAGCCAUAAUGCCGGUCAGCGUGAGCCUGGCUGCAGUUGAGCAGAGUGCUGGAAGGCCUGUGCGAUUACCCCUGCCCCCCUGCUGCGAGCACUGCAGCAGUGGAGGGACUGAGAGGGAGAGUGAGAGAACCUUUUGGCGACAGCAACCCUGAGAGAGAUGCAGAAAGCACGUCCCCUGGGGAGAAAAGCUGCCUCAGGCUUCAGAAAGCCUAUUUACAACAAGCUGUGCUUGUUACUUUCAUCAAAAUAGAGCACUGAGCUUUUCUCUUGCCUUGUUUUUUUGUGCUUUUGGCAGGAGGUUGUUAUUGUAAAGCACUGACUCCAUUGUGCUCAGCGGUGCGGUGAAAGUCUAGCUGUCCACGGCCACAGAGAAGACAAGAGAGGACAGACGGUUGGACGUAAGACGCACCUUUUUUCCCUGAGACUCCGGCCUGUUUUGUAGACUUUGAAGGAGUGUCUUUGGGAGGAGUAGAGAAACUUGCUAUAUCACCAAAUUUUGCCAACCUUUGAUCCUCAACUGUCCUCCAUCAAGUUCAAUUAGAUGAUUGUUGGUCUCUGGCGGGCACAUUUGUCAUAAUCUAUUGGCGCAUUCCAGAUGUUGAAGGAGAGGACAGAAAAUCAAUAAACUGGAUUGGGCUGCCAGGCCCUGAGGGAGGUCUCCUUACCCCGGCUUGCGUAGCUCAGGCUCAACUCUCCUACAUCAAGUCUCUCUUUUUUCUGCUGUUUGGGCCAUCAAAUUGAAUUUCAUCAAAAGACCUCAACAAAAAAGGGAAGAUAUAUAGCAUGAGGCUUUUGUAUUCCACAGACUUUCCAUUUGCCCUCCAGACAAAUAUGCAAUCACGUAUAGUUAAUGUUCAGGAAGGGCUGCUGUUUGCUUUUGAUUUUAUAAAAAGCAAACACCAUCUGAGUUAUCACUCCAGUAGUCUUUAGUCACCAGUAGAGGAUAGACCCUCACUUUUGUUUAUCGUCAAACACAGAUACACAUUGUGUGGUAUGGGUAAAAUUCUGAAAUGUUUCUCAUGUGCGUUUUAAAUGUGAAGUGAGACAAAAAUGUUGAUCUGACAGAUCUUUUGAUUCUGCAUGUUUCUUGUUUGCUCUUAUCAACCCUGAGCAGAGGGAACAGAAAGUAACUCUGAGAGGAAUCAAGGUCAGUGACUCCUUGACAACCGUUCCAUCUGCGGGGUAUUAUCAUUUCAUUACCUGCCAACGUCAAUAGCCACUGCUGUUUUCUUUUUGACUCCAUUUCCAUAGAAACUAGUGAUUCAUUGUUUGUAA
Long non-coding RNA from Micropterus salmoides (largemouth bass), 1362 nucleotides. RefSeq lists it as uncharacterized. The transcript has 3 exons. The record is from RefSeq and is a predicted model, not a curated record. NCBI's taxonomy places the organism in Eukaryota, Metazoa, Chordata, Actinopteri, Centrarchiformes, Centrarchidae.